AUUGAACGCUGGCGGCAGGCUUAACACAUGCAAGUCGAGCGGAGAUGAGGUGCUUGCACCUUAUCUUAGCGGCGGACGGGUGAGUAAUGCUUAGGAAUCUGCCUAUUAGUGGGGGACAACAUUCCGAAAGGAAUGCUAAUACCGCAUACGCCCUACGGGGGAAAGCAGGGGAUCUUCGGACCUUGCGCUAAUAGAUGAGCCUAAGUCGGAUUAGCUAGUUGGUGGGGUAAAGGCCUACCAAGGCGACGAUCUGUAGCGGGUCUGAGAGGAUGAUCCGCCACACUGGGACUGAGACACGGCCCAGACUCCUACGGGAGGCAGCAGUGGGGAAUAUUGGACAAUGGGCGGAAGCCUGAUCCAGCCAUGCCGCGUGUGUGAAGAAGGCCUUUUGGUUGUAAGGCACUUUAAGCGAGGAGGAGGCUACUUGGAUUAAUACUCUAGGAUAGUGGACGUUACUCGCAGAAUAAGCACCGGCUAACUCUGUGCCAGCCGCCGCGGUAA
This 501-nucleotide ribosomal RNA is filed under the name uncultured bacterium. Its description in RNAcentral is "partial 16S ribosomal RNA". It matches the Rfam family "Bacterial small subunit ribosomal RNA", at positions 30 to 523 of the family's 1533-position model. The record is from RNAcentral.